CAGUGCCGCGGUAAGACGGAGGGUGCUAGCGUUGUUCGGAAUCACUGGGCGUAAAGGGCGCGUAGGCGGCCUGUUAAGUCGGAUGUGAAAGCCCGGGGCUCAACCCCGGAACUGCAUCCGAGACUGGCAGGCUUGAGACCGGGAGAGGAGGGUGGAAUAUCCAGUGUAGAGGUGAAAUUCGUAGAUAUUGGAUGGAACACCGGUGGCGAAAGCGGCUCUCUGGCCCGGAUCUGACGCUGAGGCGCGAAAGCGUGGGGAGCAAACAGGAUUAGAUACCCCAGUAGUCCCUGUCUCUAUACAC
This 301-nucleotide ribosomal RNA is filed under the name uncultured bacterium. Its description in RNAcentral is "partial 16S ribosomal RNA". It matches the Rfam family "Bacterial small subunit ribosomal RNA", at positions 509 to 809 of the family's 1533-position model. The record is from RNAcentral.